GCCAGACUCCUACGGGAGGCAGCAGUGGGGGAUAUUGCACAAUGGGGGGAACCCUGAUGCAGCGACGCCGCGUGGGUGAAGGAGUAUUUCGGUAUGUAAAGCCCUAUCGGCAGGGAAGAAGCAAGACGGUACCUGACUAAGAAGCCCCGGCUAACUACGUGCCAGCAGCCGCGGUAAUACGUAGGGGGCAAGCGUUAUCCGGAUUUACUGGGUGUAAAGGGGGCGCAGACGGCAGCGCAAGCCAGGAGUGAAAGCCCGGGGCCCAACCCCCGGACUGCUCUGGAAACUGUACGGCUGGAGUGCAGGAGAGGUAAGUGGAAUUCCUAGUGUAGCGGUGAAAUGCGUAGAUAUUAGGAGGAACACCAGUGGCGAAGGCGGCUUACUGGACUGUAACUGACGUUGGGGCUCGAAAGCGUGGGGAGCAAACAGGAUUAGAUACCCCCGUA
Molecule: ribosomal RNA, 446 nt
Filed under: uncultured bacterium
Lineage: Bacteria
Description: partial 16S ribosomal RNA
Rfam family: Bacterial small subunit ribosomal RNA
Source: RNAcentral